This 443-nucleotide ribosomal RNA is filed under the name uncultured prokaryote. Its description in RNAcentral is "bacterial SSU rRNA". It matches the Rfam family "Bacterial small subunit ribosomal RNA", at positions 355 to 796 of the family's 1533-position model. The record is from RNAcentral.
UAGGGAAUAUUGGUCAAUGGGCGAGAGCCUGAACCAGCCAUGCCGCGUGCAGGACGACGGCCUUCUGGGUUGUAAACUGCUUUUAUACAGGAGUAAAAGGGCCUUGCGGGGCAAAUUGCAAGUACUGUAUGAAUAAGCACCGGCUAACUCCGUGCCAGCAGCCGCGGUAAUACGGAGGGUGCGAGCGUUGUCCGGAUUUAUUGGGUUUAAAGGGUGCGUAGGCGGUUAUUUAAGUCAGUGGUGAAAACCCUGAGCUCAACUGAGGGCUUGCCAUUGAUACUGAAUAACUUGAUUACCGUAUAGGUAGGCGGAAUUUAUGGUGUAGCGGUGAAAUGCAUAGAUACCAUAAAGAACACCGAUAGCGAAGGCAGCUUACUGGACGGCAAAUGACGCUGAUGCACGAAAGCGUGGGUAGCGAACGGGAUUAGAUACCCCCGUAGUCC